RNAcentral lists this ribosomal RNA (830 nucleotides) under uncultured bacterium. RNAcentral describes it as "bacterial SSU rRNA". It matches the Rfam family "Bacterial small subunit ribosomal RNA", at positions 27 to 848 of the family's 1533-position model. The record is from RNAcentral.
GGAUGAGCGCUAGCUACAGGCUUAACACAUGCAAGUCGAGGGGAGACGAUAGAGAAGCUCGCUUUUUCUAGGCGUCGACCGGCGCACGGGUGAGUAACGCGUAUCCAACCUGCCCAUCACUUGGGGAUAACCUUGCGAAAGUAAGACUAAUACCCAAUGAUAUCUCUAGAAGACAUCUGAAAGAGAUUAAAGAUUUAUCGGUGAUGGAUGGGGAUGCGUCUGACUAGCUUGUUGGCGGGGUAACGGCCCACCAAGGCGACGAUCAGUAGGGGUUCUGAGAGGAAGGUCCCCCACAUUGGAACUGAGACACGGUCCAAACUCCUACGGGAGGCAGCAGUGAGGAAUAUUGGUCAAUGGACGAGAGUCUGAACCAGCCAAGUAGCGUGCAGGAUGACGGCCCUAUGGGUUGUAAACUGCUUUUAUAAGGGAAUAAAGUGGGAGUCGUGACUCCUUUUGCAUGUACCUUAUGAAUAAGGACCGGCUAAUUCCGUGCCAGCAGCCGCGGUAAUACGGAAGGUCCGGGCGUUAUCCGGAUUUAUUGGGUUUAAAGGGAGCGUAGGCCGGAGAUUAAGCGUGUUGUGAAAUGUAGACGCUCAACGUCUGCACUGCAGCGCGAACUGGUUUCCUUGAGUACGCACAAAGUGGGCGGAAUUCGUGGUGUAGCGGUGAAAUGCUUAGAUAUCACGAAGAACUCCGAUUGCGAAGGCAGCUCACUGGAGCGCAACUGACGCUGAAGCUCGAAAGUGCGGGUAUCGAACAGGAUUAGAUACCCUGGUAGUCCGCACGGUAAACGAUGGAUGCCCGCUGUUGGUCUGAAUAGGUCAGCGGCC